AUUUUAAGCAACGCUUCUAGCUUAAUCCACAUAACUGAUACUUCGUAUCGACUUUGUGCGCAUUUUGCUAUUAUGUGUUCUUUUAAUUAAAAUGAUUCUUUUUAAGGACUUUCUUUGCUUCGGCUUGGAAGUCCUUGUUACUUUGAGUAAAUUAGAGUGUUCAAAGCAAACAGAUAUAGCAUUGCGCGUUUGAAUACUACAGCAUGGAAUAACAAAAUUGAACAAGUCAGAAUUUUGUUCUUUUUUCUUAUUUUGGCUUAGUUACGAUUAAUAGGAGUAGCUUGGGGGCAUUUGUAUUCAGAUGUCAGAGGUGAAAUUCUUAGAUUUUCUGGAGACAAACAACUGCGAAAGCAUUUGCCUAAAAUACUUCCAUUAAUCAAGAACGAAAGUUAAGGGAGUGAAGACGAUCAGAUACCGUCGUAAUCUUAACCAUAAACUAUGCCGACUAGGCUUUGGAUGAAAGAUUUUAAAAUAAGAAUUUUCUCUUCGGAGUUUAUUCUUAGAUUGCUUCCUUCAGUGCCUUAUGAGAAAUCAAAGUCUUUGGGUUCUGGGGCGAGUAUUCGCGCAAGCGAGAAAGUUAAAAGAAUUGACGGAAGGGCACCACCAGGCGUGGAGCUUGCGGCUUAAUUUGACUCAACACGGGAAAACUCACUAGUUUAAGACAAGAGUAGGAUUGACAGAUUAAUAGCUCUUUCUUGAUUUCUUGGAUGGUGAUGCAUGGCCGUUUUUAGUUCGUGAAUAUGAUUUGUCUGGUUAAUUCCGAUAACGAACGAGAUCUUAACCUGCUAAUUAGCGGCAAAUACGAUAUAUUCUUACGUGGGACUGAAUUCGGUUGAUUUGCUUACUUUGAAGAAAAUAUUGGGAAACGUAACAGUUUCCCUUUCCCUUUUCUACUUAGUUCGCUUWUCAUACUGUUUCUUUUUCGCGUAAGAAUGUAUUUGCUUGAUUGUAAAGCUUCUU
This 960-nucleotide ribosomal RNA is filed under the name Plasmodium vivax (malaria parasite P. vivax). RNAcentral describes it as "SSU rRNA". It matches the Rfam family "Eukaryotic small subunit ribosomal RNA", at positions 634 to 1431 of the family's 1831-position model. Lineage: Eukaryota; Apicomplexa; Aconoidasida; Haemosporida; Plasmodiidae. The record is from RNAcentral.